CCGGAAGGACGACCUUCCACCUCAAUUCAUCACCCGCGGGGACGGCCCUG
RNAcentral lists this non-coding RNA (50 nucleotides) under Hyphomicrobiales bacterium. RNAcentral's name for it is "Rhizobiales bacterium Guanidine-II sequence". It matches the Rfam family "Guanidine-II riboswitch aptamer (mini-ykkC)". Rfam says of the family: Simpler in structure and has fewer highly conserved nucleotide positions than the ykkC-yxkD leader. Despite this each of its two stem-loop structures directly bind free guanidine. Therefore, mini-ykkC RNA motif represents a distinct class of guanidine-sensing RNAs. The record is from RNAcentral. Lineage: Bacteria; Pseudomonadati; Pseudomonadota; Alphaproteobacteria; Hyphomicrobiales.